This 253-nucleotide ribosomal RNA is filed under the name uncultured bacterium. RNAcentral's name for it is "partial 16S ribosomal RNA". It matches the Rfam family "Bacterial small subunit ribosomal RNA", at positions 524 to 776 of the family's 1533-position model. The record is from RNAcentral.
UACGUAGGGAGCCAGCGUUGUCCGGAUUUACUGGGCGUAAAGAGCGCGUAGGCGGUCGCGUAAGCGGAGGGUGAAAUCCCGGGGCUCAACUCCGGGGCUGCUUUCCGAACUGCACGACUAGAGUACGGGAGAGGACAGUGGAAUUCCUGGUGUAGCGGUGGAAUGCGUAAAUAUCAGGAGGAACACCCGUGGCGAAGGCUGCUGUCUGGAACGUUACUGACGCUGAGGCGCGAAAGCUAGGGGAGCGAACGGG